RNAcentral lists this ribosomal RNA (407 nucleotides) under uncultured bacterium. RNAcentral describes it as "partial 16S ribosomal RNA". It matches the Rfam family "Bacterial small subunit ribosomal RNA", at positions 28 to 526 of the family's 1533-position model. The record is from RNAcentral.
GACGAACGCUGGCGGCGUGCCUAAUACAUGCAAGUAGGACGCAGUUGCGAACGGGUGAGUAACGCGUAGGUAACUACCUAUUAGAGGGGGAUAACUAUUGGAAACGAUAGCUAAUACCGCAUACUAGUAGAUGGACCUGCGUUGUAUUAGCUAGUAGGUAGGGUAAUGGCCUACCUAGGCAACGAUACAUAGCCGACCUGGAAAGGUGAGCGGCCAACCUGGGACUGGAACACGGCCCCGACCACCACGGGAGGCAGCAGUAGGGAAUCUUCGGCAAUGGGGGGAACCCUGACCGAGCCAAGCCGCGUGAGUGAAGAAGGUUUUCGGAUCGUAAAGCUCUGUUGUUAAGGAAGCGGUACUUAACCAGAAAGGAACGGCUAACUACGUGCCAGCAGCCGCGGUAAUAC